RNAcentral lists this ribosomal RNA (429 nucleotides) under Bacteroidota bacterium. RNAcentral's name for it is "Bacteroidetes bacterium partial 16S ribosomal RNA". It matches the Rfam family "Bacterial small subunit ribosomal RNA", at positions 355 to 776 of the family's 1533-position model. Lineage: Bacteria; Pseudomonadati; Bacteroidota. The record is from RNAcentral.
UAGGGAAUCUUCGGCAAUGGGGGGAACCCUGACCGAGCAACGCCGCGUGAGUGAAGAAGGUUUUCGGAUCGUAAAGCUCUGUUGUUAAGGAAGAACGAGUGUGAGAAUGGAAAGUUCAUACUGUGACGGUACUUAACCAGAAAGGGACGGCUAACUACGUGCCAGCAGCCGCGGUAAUACGUAGGUCCCGAGCGUUGUCCGGAAUUAUUGGGCGUAAAGCGCGCGUAGGCGGUUAGAAAAGUCUGAAGUGAAAGGCAGUGGCUCAACCAUUGUAGGCUUUGGAAACUGUUUAACUUGAGUGCAGAAGGGGAGAGUGGAAUUCCAUGUGUAGCGGUGAAAUGCGUAGAUAUAUGGAGGAACACCGGUGGCGAAAGCGGCUCUCUGGUCUGUAACUGACGCUGAGGCUCGAAAGCGUGGGGAGCGAACAGG